This 476-nucleotide ribosomal RNA is filed under the name uncultured bacterium. RNAcentral's name for it is "bacterial SSU rRNA". It matches the Rfam family "Bacterial small subunit ribosomal RNA", at positions 328 to 793 of the family's 1533-position model. The record is from RNAcentral.
CGCUAUGACUCCUACGGGAGGCAGCAGUGGGGAAUAUUGGACAAUGGGCAAAGCCUGAUCCAGCCAUGCCGCGUGUGUGAAGAAGGUCUUCGGAUUGUAAAGCACUUUAAGUUGGGAGGAAGGGCAGUUACCUAAUACGUGAUUGUUUUGACGUUACCGACAGAAUAAGCACCGGCUAACUCUGUGCCAGCAGCCGCGGUAAUACAGAGGGUGCAAGCGUUAAUCGGAAUUACUGGGCGUAAAGCGCGCGUAGGUGGUUAGUUAAGUUGGAUGUGAAAUCCCCCGGGCUCAACCUGGGAACUGCAUUCAAAACUGACUGACUAGAGUAUGGUAGAGGGUGGUGGAAUUUCCUGUGUAGCGGUGAAAUGCGUAGAUAUAGGAAGGAACACCAGUGGCGAAGGCGACCACCUGGACUGAUACUGACGCUCAGACUGCGAAAGCGUGGGGAGCCAAACAGGAUUAGACUACCCUGGUAG